ACGAACGCUGGCGGCGUGCUUAACACAUGCAAGUCGAACGGAAAGGCCCUGCUUUUGUGGGGUGCUCGAGUGGCGAACGGGUGAGUAACACGUGAGUAACCUGCGCUUGACUUUGGGAUAACUUCAGGAAACUGGGGCUAAUACCGGAUAGGAGCUCCUGCUGCAUGGUGGGGGUUGGAAAGUUUCGGCGGUUGGGGAUGGACUCGCGGCUUAUCAGCUUGUUGGUGGGGUAGUGGCUUACCAAGGCUUUGACGGGUAGCCGGCCUGAGAGGGUGACCGGCCACAUUGGGACUGAGAUACGGCCCAGACUCCUACGGGAGGCAGCAGUGGGGAAUAUUGCACAAUGGGCGGAAGCCUGAUGCAGCAACGCCGCGUGCGGGAUGACGGCCUUCGGGUUGUAAACCGCUUUCGCCUGUGACGAAGCGUGAGUGACGGUAAUGGGUAAAGAAGCACCGGCUAACUACGUG
This 467-nucleotide ribosomal RNA is filed under the name uncultured bacterium. Its description in RNAcentral is "partial 16S ribosomal RNA". It matches the Rfam family "Bacterial small subunit ribosomal RNA", at positions 29 to 507 of the family's 1533-position model. The record is from RNAcentral.